UUUAGAUUUUAAUGUUGAUCUAUUUAUAAGUUUUGAUUAUUGUGUCUUAUCAUUUAAUGUUUGCUUUGACAAUUAAAUUUAAAUUUUCUAAUUUUAACGACAUCAUUCUAUUUCUUUUUUGACUUUAAGUUCCAAGACUUCUAAUGUCUAGCAAGGAUAGAGAUCAUUCGCUUGUAUGUUUUACUCGCAUGAAACUGAGUGUCCAUAAUUGAACAUUUGGAUUUUUCGCAAUUUGCAAAGAUACACCGAAACAAUGAAAAUACUAUGAUGAACAUUCUAGAUGAAAAUUUUCUUGAAAUAUUUCUUCAACUCUUUCUAUUGAUGAUCUGCUUCAUGCAAAUACUUGGACAUAUCCCAAAGUAGGCUUUGUUAUUUUUAAUGGCAUUGACAACAUUGAAUUGUAAAAAUUAUAUGGACACCUGUUACACCUAUUCAGACAUCUAUACCAAUCUAGACUGGCCGUUUCAUGAAAUACCUUUGCUCGCAUGAAACAGUAUCAUCUCUGCACUUCUUCUGAUUGAAGGGAAACCAAAUAAACCAAAUAUUAGGUAAUAAUAAAAGGUUUUCCCUUCCCUUUAAGUGAAGGAUUGAUGAAGGUAAAUGCAAAAAACAAGAGAAAGUGAAUGGUCUAAAAAAUUGGUUGAAUAUGCUAGGUUGAUCAACUGGAGUUCAUUGGUUAAGUGAUAUAAAACGUUUAAAAAGAUCACUUUAUUGGAAUAACGAUUUACAUUUAUUUGAAGAUACACUUACAUUUCCGUGUACCCAGAUGUUGAUUAACGAUGGUUAAGGCUUGGCAAAGUACAAAAGAGUUAACUUUUGAUCAGGAAGCUAAUGUAAUGGAUUCAGUGGUUCCUUGAUAUGUUGAUCAGGAGGACAAGGACGAAAAAGAGAGCAAUUAAUUGCCUGUUGAUACAAUCAAUUUUAUCAAAACUCAAAUCAGCCUAAUUAUACUAGGCUUGAGAUUCGUUGCAGUUAGUAUUUUUAUAUUGUUACCGGAACACUUGAACUAAUCAAAGUUACAAUUGAAGAGGUACAAAAAGAUGAUUUAUUAAUGUAAUAAAUGGUCAAGCCUUGGACAAAAAUCACUUUAAACCAAGGAAGAAGAGUUACCAACAAGAUAUUUAUCUGGAUGAUCUGUAAAUACUGAAGUAUUACCAAUUUCUGGCAAUUGAACAUCUAUUAAAAGACAAACUGUAACAGUUAAAUCAAGUCUGGUUUUAAUGGUUUAGGUUGAAACCCAAAUCAUAUGGUUUGUCAUUUUACUGAUGCAACUUUAGAUCUUCAACCAGAAAAUGGACUCAUUUUGAGAAAUAAAAUUUCUGUUUCUGUUCAACAGAUCAGUUCGAUUCUCAGUUCAACCUUUUGCUUCAAGUGACCGUAAGAUUUAGAGAUCGGAAACUUAUUAUUUAUCGAUAAAAAUUGUUGGAACACAUCAACGAUCGAAUACUUUUUCAGUCCGAACCCAACUCUUAAAUCAAAAGUCACAUUUUCUGCAGAUAUUCCUUCACGGUCACUAUAAACUUAAUUAACUGGAUAACUAACUCUCAAGCUAUUAAAUUUUGGCAUAAUUGAAGUGACCAGCUACCGUCUCAAAUCAACUAUUAUUAUUAUAUUGGCCAAAAAUAUUGUCUUGAUAAAGUCUUGAAGGUUGACCUUAACAACCUUUACAGCCUUUACAAACCAGGGUAACCCAAAGUAAUCAAAAAGGUGAAAGUGACGACGGAAAAGCCUGGAUUAAGGCCAAAUUGAAUGUCAAUUGAGAUUACAUUAUCCAUUAUUUUCGGGUUUCAAUUCAAUGGGAAACUUGGCCUUUCAUUUGAUCAUUAAUAAUGCGAAAAUACAUUUCGUACUUUUCUGGUUGAUCAAUUGUUCAAUUGAACAAUAAUAAUAUUUUAAAAAUCAUUUCUCAUUAUUAGCAAACUGGUAAUCAUUGCUAUUGUAAUAAGUUAUUACUAAUAACAAAUUGAUAAUGGGCAGCAACAAUAUCAACAUUAUAAAUAGUUAAUCACAAAUGAAAAUAAUGAAAUCAUAAUUAAUCUAUUCACAGGAGUGUCUAAGGCCAUUUUGAUUAGUAAUAUUUUAAUUACAACCAGAAAUUACUGCAGACUGUUAAUUCUUGACUGAUAAAUUAGCUUUCAAUUGAUAGUCUCAAUAUAGCAUAUAAAUUAACCUUGUUUACCGAUUUUACUAUUUACAUCUUGCGAUCAUUUACGCUUUUGAAUUAAAUUACUAACAAUCCAAUCAAGGAUUUUCCAACAAUUAUGCUCUUUUUCUUGAUCAUCCUGACAAUCAUAGUCAAUCCGUGUAAUUAUCAGUUGAAUCGAUGUAAUUUUACUCUGAUAUCAUUGCUUUAAACUCAAUGUCGACCCAUUGGAUUUAAGAGCAACAUUUCAUUAUUUUUUUCAGGUUGAACAUUAUCCUGAUCUUUAAAAAUCUGGUUCCAAUCCAAGGAGGUGAUUCAAGUGAAAGUGAUGACUCUGUUUUUUGUACUUCAAUUACAACUGAAGGAUAGUUUUUGAAAGGAUGGUUUUCACCUGAUGUAAUUUGGUAAUCAAUUGGUUAAUGUUAACUGGUGAAGAGUGUCAAAAAAGAGCGGAAAAGUAGCGCAAAAUUGGUAUUUUCCUCACCAAUUCGUGGAAACCAAAUUGGCAUCGCUUCCUUUUAAAACACAGUUGGAGAUGAAUUGGAAUGAAAGCAAGAAACUGUAAUCACUGUUCAAUCACAAUUAACAUUUUAACCCACAAACAAUUGUUGAAAUAUCAUCAUUAACCAUUUCUCAUCAUUUUAUUUUAACCUUGCUCAUAGUUUCCAUCAAUAAUUAUUAGUUGAUAUUUAACCGGUAAAACCAUUGAUUUCAAUCAAUUUAU
Non-coding RNA from Tetranychus urticae (two-spotted spider mite), 2867 nucleotides. NCBI's taxonomy places the organism in Eukaryota, Metazoa, Arthropoda, Arachnida, Trombidiformes, Tetranychidae. The record is from RefSeq and is a predicted model, not a curated record.